CUCAGCGUGUCCACCAUUAAAACAUUUUGGUUUCAAUGUGAAUUAUCACUAUUAUUUGCUGAAUGUGUUUAUUUUAUUAUGCCAUUAUUUAAAUUACUGAUAUUACUAUUGUUUGUUUUGAAAUUAAUUGGAUCAUGAAGCCUCUGUUUAUGCAGUAACCCUGAUACCAGAGCAAGUGUUAAUCACAUCAACAUUAAAAAAUUCUGUGUUACUCAAAGUGAAACUUUGUACCCUGUCCCUAAAGACUUUUUUUGUUUAUUAACUUUUAGGACCCUUCCAAGUCUUACAAGAAAGCUGGAGAAGUUGCCCCAGUUGAGUUACACGUGGAAGAAGGCCCUUUGCCCAGCCAGGAGAAGCCCUUGCAGAGGCAGUCGGAGAGCACAACCUGCAGCCCCUCCAGGAAGAGAUCCACGUCAGAGAGCGCUUCUUCUCCAGGCAAGUGCUGCCCAGGAACCUGGCUUUGGGGUCCCGGGGUGCUCAGGGCUGUGCUGAGACCCAGCAUGGCUGGAGAACUUCAGCUCAUGGAGAUCCUGAGGUUUUCCAUUGAUAUAUUGGGAAUCAUGGCUGGAGAACUUCAGCUCAUGGAGAUCCUGAGGUUUGGGACAUCAUGGCUGGAGAACUUCAGCUCAUGGAGAUAUUGAGGUUUUCCACUAAUAUUUUUGGGACAUCAUGGCUGUGAGAACUUCAGCUCAUGGUGAUCCUGAGGUUCUCCUUUGAUAUUUUGGGAAUCAUGGCUGGAGAACUUCAGCUCAUGGAGAUAUUGAGGUUUUCCACUAAUAUUUUCGGGAUAUCAUGGCUGUGAGAACUUCAGCUCAUGGAAAUCCUGAGUUUUGGGACAUCAUGGCUGGAGAACUUCAGCUCAUGGAGAUAUUGAGGUUUUCCAUUGAUAUAUUGGGACAUCAUGGCUGGGAGAACUUCAGCUCAUGGAGAUCCUGAGUUGUUUCACUGAUAUUUUGGGAAUCAUGGCUGGAGAACUUCAGCUCAUGGUGAUCCUGAGGUUUUUCACUGAUAUUUUGGGACAUCAUGGCUGGAGAACAUCACCCAUGGUGAUCCUGAGUUUUGGGACAUCAUGGCUGGAGAACAUCACUCAUGGUGAUCCUGAGUUUUGGGACAUCAUGGCUGGAGAACUUCAGCUCAUGGUGAUCCUGAGUUUUCCACUGAUAUUUUCGGGAUAUCAUGGCUGGAGAACUUCAGCUCAUGGAGAUAUUGAGGUUUUCCAUUGAUAUAUUGGGACAUCAUGGCUGUGAGAACAUCACUCAUGGUGAUCCUGAGGUUUUCCAUUGAAAUCUUGGGACAUCAUGGCUGGAGAUCAUCACUCAUGGUGAUCCUGAGUUUUGGGACAUCAUGGCUGGAGAACUUCAGCUCACGGAGAUCCUGAGGUUUUUCACUGAUAUUUUGGGACAUCAUGGCUGGGAGAGAUUCAGCUCAUGGUGAUCCUGAGUUUUGGGACAUCAUGGCUGGAGAACUUCAGCUCAUGGUGAUAUUGAGGUUUUUCACUGAUAUUUUGGGACAUCAUGGCUGGAGAACUUCAGCUCAUGGAGAUAUUGAGGUUUUCCACUAAUAUUUUCGGGAUAUCAUGGCUGGAGAACUUCAGCUCAUGGAGAUCCUGAGUUUUGGGACAUCAUGGCUGGAGAACUUCAGCUCACGGAGAUCCUGAGGUUUUCCAUUGAUAUCUUGGGACAUCAUGGC
Long non-coding RNA from Zonotrichia albicollis (white-throated sparrow), 1689 nucleotides. Lineage: Eukaryota; Metazoa; Chordata; Aves; Passeriformes; Passerellidae. The record is from Ensembl.